Oryctolagus cuniculus (rabbit) is the source of this 1657-nucleotide long non-coding RNA. NCBI's taxonomy places the organism in Eukaryota, Metazoa, Chordata, Mammalia, Lagomorpha, Leporidae. The record is from Ensembl.
AUGUGUGUACAUGUGUGCACACGCAUGUGUGCAGGUGUCUGUAUGCUAACAAGACCCGCCCAGCCGUGUGCACAGGGGCCGGUGACGUCACCCCCGGCUGUCACGGGAGCCGUCCCUUCCUACGUGGAGUUCCUCGGGCUCUGGGGAGCCCUUUCUGGACAAGCUCCGUCCGCACCAGUCCUGCGGCUGAGGCCUCCCAGGGUCGGCCAGGGCUGCAAGGCGUCUGUGGGAGGACAAGGCAGUCCGCGUCCUGACCCAGCUGUGCUUGGAGGCCCCCCAGCUCCCCCCGGCGGUGCAGGGCGUGUGUGGGGCGUGCAGGCCUGGGGCACACGUGCCCUUGUGCAUCUGCGUGUGCCCGUGUGCACCUCUGCGGGCACGCGCACACACCUGCGGGCUCCCGGCUGCGCACGGCGAAGGGCGGCGGGGCAAGCCUCCUCUAAGGGGGUCGGGGGCGGGGGCGUGUUUCGCAGCAGGGGGAGGAAAGGUAAGGUUCUCUCAGCGCGUUUAUUUCCAGAAGACAAACCGGAACCUGGACAUCUGUUGGUUCUAACAAGAGUUUGUUUGUUUUUAAUAAAGAAGAAAAAGGGGUUCCUUGGCUUUUUCCACAGAACAAAGCCACUGAUCGUCUCCGAGAUGGCCGUGGCUGCGGCUGGAUGACGCCACCGCCCGGGCCACUCCCUGGGCGCUCUUAGAAGUGCUUGUCCCCUCACGAAUCCCCCAGCAGCCUGGGAUGCCGCCAUCUUCCCUGAAUUACCGCACGGCAGAGGCUCGCCACGCCAGAGCUCGGUGUGUGCCCCGCUCGCGCCAGGUCAGUGGGAGACCUCUCGUCCCAAAGCAGUGUCUGCGUGCAACCUGGCCCCGACGCCAGCAGCACAGAGCCCGGGUGUCCACGGCACCGACGGCUCACGGCAGAGGUACCCAGCGGACAAAACCGGCGUCCCCGCAGCAGUGCCCACGCCUGCCGGCCGGAGGUGCUCCGAGCGUCUUGCCUCUCUGGUCUGGGGGCCGGCUUACGAGGGACAGCGGCUUCCGGAGGGCGGGCAGGCAGGCAGCCGGGCGGGCCCUGCUCCCUGUUUCCCCCCUGAGCCUGGAUCCACGGCAGGAGGGUCGGUGUCACCAGCGUCACAUGCCGGGAACGCAUGCAGCCAGCCAGCGUGCAGAUGCGUGAGUUCCCGGGCGAGACUGCAGGGGGCGCACAGCCCACGGCUGAGCAACGUGCAGGAAGGCUCAGCCUUCACGCGUGACACAGACCAGCGGCCACGGCGGGCGCGGCGGCUCCGCCCAGCCCCCGGCUCACUCUCCAGGUCCCGCAGGGCCAGCGAGGACCCCUGGGGUGGGUGGCACGGGGCCGAGGUGGGGACCGGCAGGGAGAGGCAACACCGGCGGUGUUUUCCACACCAGAAACAGCCCCUGCUCAUCGGGGGCUGCGGGCGGUCUACACAGACCUCAGCUCGGCCGGACUCUCGCGGUGGGACAGGGACCUCGGAGAGCCUCAGGCGCCGUCCCUCCUUAAGGCCUCAGCUCGGAGAGGAAGGUGGGGGCGCCCUCCCCUCCCCAGCUAGGCUCUUCCAGGGGCUGCUCACUGCUUGCGGUGCCGACCGUGGGCAGCCCCGUAAAGGCACUGUGCGAUGCCAUACACACCUUGGAAGGCCCUGGG